GGCCUUCCAGUUCACCUCUCCGUCCUCCUCAGCAGCGUCCCGAAUCUAGUGACACACACCGGUCAGGAAACAUCAACAGAAGAGGCACAGGAAAGCAUCCCUCUUACAAAAGAGACUGAUAUUCCUCAAACAAAUCCCCUUUUUAAAAUGGCAAGGGCAUGUCAGCAGUUGAGGGAGGUGAUCCUGUCCCUCUGCUCAGCCCGGGUGAGUGCUGCAUCCAAAUCUGAGCUUCCCGGGACAAGAGAGACGUGGAGCUCCUGGAGCGGGCCCCGUAGGUGCGACAGAGGGGAUUGAGGCACUGGAACAUCUCUCUCACCAGGAAGAGCUGGAGGAGGUAGGGCUACUCAGUCUUGAGACGAGGCGACUGAGAGGAGAACCUCAGGAAUGUCUGUAAAUAUCUAAUGGGUUGGUGCCAAGAAGAUGGACAUGGGGUCCUCUCUGUGGUGCCAAGCAAUAAGAUGAGAGCCAGCAAGUAGAAAAACUGCACCUGAGUAUGAGGAAGAACUUCUUUGCCGUGUGGGUGAUCACAAACAGGAGCAGUUUGCCCAGAGAGGUUGUUGGGUCUCCCUCGGUGAAGAUACUCAAGAAGCAUCUGGAUGCAAUCCUGUGCCAUGGAUUGCAUAACCCUGCUUGAGCAGGGGGAUUGGACCAAAUGACCUGCUGUGAUUCCUUCUGACCUUAGUCAUUUUGUGAUGCUGUGAUCUUGUGAAAAAAAAGACCUGUGGAACUACAAGCUAAUCAGUCACCUCUGUGCCUGGUGAAAUCCCCAUGGAAACUAUGGUACCUCACUACUGGGAAGUCUUCUGAAGUGAAGUUGUGCCUUUUCCUAUAAUUGAAGACUUCAGAAUAAACACACAUCUCUUGUGAGAUGUUUGCUGGUGGCCUGGCCUGCUAAAGAUAACAAAACAUGUCAAAGAAAAGAAAAAAACUCUUUUUUUAUACCUCAGAAUCUGUUGCUGAAGGACAUUCUGAUAAGUUGUGUGAUAAGCUAAGUGAUGCUGUUCUAGAUGCUCAUCUCAGAAUUGGUCCAGAUGCCAAGGUUGCCUAUGGUCACAAUGAAAUACAAGGAAUGUAGUGGUGCACUGGAGCCCAUCCUAGUGCAUACACUUGUGAUUUCAAUAAAUCAUGCAUGAACAUACUGCUACAACAAAUAGACAAUGGGCGGAUGGAUAAAGUUGUUUAAAAAGUCAUUCCAGAGAAGUAUCUUGAUGAGGAUACCAUUUAUCAUCUCCUUCCAAGGGACAAGUUUGUAGAAGGUGGUCCUAAGGCUGAUGCUGGACUGACUGGGCAUAAGAUCAUUUCUGAUAGCUGGGGAGCCCAUGGUGGAGGUGGAUUCUCUGAAAAGAUCCCUCCAAAGCUGAUCAUUCUGUAGCAUAUGCAGCUCACUGGAUUGCAAAAUCUCUGGUGAAAGCUGGUCUCUGAAGAAGAGUAUUAAUCCAGGGAGCUAUAUUUGAAGAGGCCAAUUUAUGAAAAAACAGCAUGCUAUGGGCACUUUGGAAGAGAAGAAUUUACAUGGGAAAUACUCAAAAAACCUUGUGUUUAAGCUUUUCAAAAUGUUUCAUGUUAUUGACAUGCAUUUUAAUAAUCAGGUAAAAUUCCAAGCAGUCAAAGAAAAGACUAUAUCUACCUUUUUUAAAAUGGCAUUCUGUAGUCAAUAGAUACUCUAAAAAUUACUUGUGUUUGAUUUCUAACUUUCACGGUCUCCUUACAGUUUUAAUGCAUGCAGCUCUAUCUAGGAUAGUAUUCAGCUUUGAUUGGGUAACAUAUGAAUAAUUUAGGCCUUUGACAUGAUCAGACAUUAAAAUGGUUGUGGAUAUUGAUGCCAUUCCUAUACUGCCUGAGAAAUCUGCUAUUGUGUGCCCAAUUAAGUUUGUAGUGGAUGAAGCUGGUGAGGUAACUUUAGGAGCUCCCUGUGAGAGGAGAGCAGAAAUAGCACAAAUUGCUGUAAUUAUUUCACCCAGAACUUCCACAACUUGAGUUAAGGUUCUUCAGUUAUGUAACACAUUAGAAGAUAUAACCCUUUCUGAACAUUGGUCAUUGUAGCCCUACAUAUACCUAGCUCUUAGGUAGUGCUAUUAGUUUGCUUUGAACCCUAUGAUUUUGUAAUUGUAUCUGUGAAAAUUGAUGAAAUCCUACAUUGUAAUUUUUUGAUUUAUUUAUAGUCAUUCUUUCAAACUUGAAUUUUCCAUGUCUGCAUGGAUUGGUUGUAUAAAUUUUCAAUUAAGUUUAUUUUGGCCACUUCUGAAAUGUAGUAAAAUGUAAAAAAAUACUUGGAGGACAUGACUUUCCUCUUACUUUCCUGACUGAAAGCAUAAAAUGCAAAAAGGGCAUUCAAAAUCAUUUAGCUUCUCUUCAAGAACUAGAGAGGAUGAAAAUGCUUGAAUAUCAAAAAUAGCAAUUCUGGCAAGCAAAUUUAUUAUUAAAUUGGUAACUAAGACACAACGUUGAAAUGCUGUAACUUCUGUUAUCCCUGGGAAUUUUAAUAAACAGCUAAGCAAUAUGGCUAGCUUGCCCCUUUUAACAGAAAGAUAAAGACUCCGGUGGUAAGUCUAAACAAGUGCAAGUAGCUAAUUAUAUCCUUUGUCUCAUGCAAGUUUUGAAAAGCUUCUUCCUUUCAUGCAAAGACUGAUCAAUCCACUGCUCCAUAGACAGACCAAAGCUGAAGUGAGGUCACUGUACAUCUGUCCCUACACCUUACCUGUCCUGGUACAGUUUACUUGAUUUAGCACAGGAAUGCUGCCGUCAGUCCUUGUGACCUCCUAUACCUGAGGCACAUUUUUCUUCCAUAAGAAAAGAAAACGAAUUUCUGCAAUUAUUUUGUGGGUAUUUUUUGCAGUUUUUUAUCUAAUGACAAAGUUUCCUUUUUAAUCACAGGACCCUGGACCCUAUCAUUGCCUGAAAAUAACCCAGUUUAGUUUGCAUAUGGCCAUGUAGGCAUAAAAUCUAUCAUUAACCUUUAUGAAAAUUUGUUCAAAUUGGUAUUGUCUCAGAAAUGGUAAUGUAUCUGGCUAAUUCUGAAAUGACAGAAUAACUUCCACUUUUAGUAAUGUGGGGGUACAAUGUUUAAAUGGCAAGGGAUUACCACACAGUAAAAUGACUAUAAUGACCUUUUGAAAGGAAGUUCAAUAAAUGGAUAUAUAGUGUCAAUUUUACAGCUAGUAUCAAUUUUACUGUCAUAAUACUUCACUCUUCCAAAGUGAAACAGUCAUGCUUUAGUUCUCACAGAAGAAGACCAUUUUGAUAAAGCCUUUUGUUAAAUUUAAUAAAGAAAUUAUUUGUUCAAAUGAGGUAUGUGUUAAUCCUGGUUUACCAUCAAACAAAGAAACAAACAAGUAAAGCAGCACCACCCAAAAAAGCCACAGCUUAUUUCAGACAGUAAGAACAUUUUCCUGAAACGCUUCUUUCACUGUGCUUUCUGGCUUCAAAGUUAAAUACCUUUUCUUCAAGAAAUUGGAUAGACUCCAACUCUUUCUUUCCCUUGAUUGGUGUUUCAAGGAAGUCAGGGGCACUAACUGUAGAGGAAAUCCCUAACUACAGACUAGAACAGGUGCACUGUACAUUCAAUCACCAGAGACCCUGUCCACAAGUUUCACCAGUUUUCUAAUAACCAGUAAAUUAAUUUUAUUUAUACAGGGUAGCUAAUUUUUCCUAUAUAAAAUUUUUCUAAAGAAGAGCAAAAAGAUAUAUGCCUUGUUUGAAGCCAGCAAACAGAGAAAAGAUACAUCUGCUAACUUUGUAGUGUCUAAUCCAAAGCUAGAGACAAAACUAUUGCUCCACAAAACCAGUGAAGUAACUUUUUAAAAAUCAUUGGCAUAUUUUCCUAUUAUCAGGCAAGAAUAACGUAAGCUAGAAACUCAGAUGUAAAGAAAGGGUUCCCAAAUCAAUAACAGCAGUUAUUGCUGAAAAUUUAGCAAAAUUAGAAUGUAGCAUACAUACAUAAAGAUCAAUUGAAACAUCCCUAUUUCCAAAUGCUUCAAAUACUGCUUUGUUAACCUGGUUAUUUUAAUAUCAAAUGAACAGACUCUUAUUUGAAAUAUAUGGCUAGGGUGCAUUAUAAAAAUCUCCUAAUAUAUAACAGGUGAUAAUCUGCAUAAGAAAAAGCCCAUACAUCAGAAGAACACAAUAGCUUAUGCCUUGUGUUUUGCAGCUAAAACAAAAAGAAACAUGAAUGAAAAAUUAGUGCUGCACAAAAUUACCUGGCUGUAACAUGGAAGUGCUACUGGCUGUUCACUUCCCAAAGCUGCUGAUUCUUGCUGGUUGUGGGAGGUAGAAUGAAGCCUAAAUAUUUCAAAAAAGAGUAGUUUCACUCAAACUUAGGCUAGCCAGUUGGGAAAGAAAAUGACUGAACAGAAUCGCUGUUGAGGUAGGCAUGACAUAUGAAUAGACACACAGAAGGCCA
Long non-coding RNA from Catharus ustulatus (Swainson's thrush), 4399 nucleotides. RefSeq lists it as uncharacterized. The record is from RefSeq and is a predicted model, not a curated record. The transcript is spliced from 7 exons. NCBI's taxonomy places the organism in Eukaryota, Metazoa, Chordata, Aves, Passeriformes, Turdidae.